GCGGACGGGUGAGUAACACGUGGGUAACCUGCCCUUAAGUGGGGGAUAACAUUUGGAAACAGAUGCUAAUACCGCAUAGAUCCAAGAACCGCAUGGUUCUUGGCUGAAAGAUGGCGUAAGCUAUCGCUUUUGGAUGGACCCGCGGCGUAUUAGCUAGUUGGUGAGGUAAUGGCUCACCAAGGCGAUGAUACGUAGCCGAACUGAGAGGUUGAUCGGCCACAUUGGGACUGAGACACGGCCCAAACUCCUACGGGAGGCAGCAGUAGGGAAUCUUCCACAAUGGACGCAAGUCUGAUGGAGCAACGCCGCGUGAGUGAAGAAGGCUUUCGGGUCGUAAAACUCUGUUGUUGGAGAAGAAUGGUCGGCAGAGUAACUGUUGUCGGCGUGACGGUAUCCAACCAGAAAGCCACGGCUAACUACGUGCCAGCAGCCGCGGUAAUACGUAGGUGGCAAGCGUUAUCCGGAUUUAUUGGGCGUAAAGCGAGCGCAGGCGGUUUUUUAAGUCUGAUGUGAAAGCCCUCGGCUUAACCGAGGAAGCGCAUCGGAAACUGGGAAACUUGAGUGCAGAAGAGGACAGUGGAACUCCAUGUGUAGCGGUGAAAUGCGUAGAUAUAUGGAAGAACACCAGUGGCGAAGGCGGCUGUCUGGUCUGUAACUGACGCUGAGGCUCGAAAGCAUGGGUAGCGAACAGGAUUAGAUACCCUGGU
This 707-nucleotide ribosomal RNA is filed under the name Lacticaseibacillus paracasei. RNAcentral's name for it is "bacterial SSU rRNA". It matches the Rfam family "Bacterial small subunit ribosomal RNA", at positions 98 to 791 of the family's 1533-position model. The record is from RNAcentral. Lineage: Bacteria; Bacillati; Bacillota; Bacilli; Lactobacillales; Lactobacillaceae.